GACGAACGCUGGCGGCGUGCUUAACACAUGCAAGUCGAGCGGAGCGGCGAACGGGUGAGUAACGCGUUAGUAACUGCCCCCCUCUCUGGGAUAACAGUUGGAAACGGCUGCUAAUACCGGAUAGUGGGGGAUGACUUGAGUCCUAUCAGCUUGUUGGGGGGGUAGUGGCCUACCAAGGCGACGACGGGUAGCCGGCCUGGGAGGGAGGCCAGCCACAUGGGGCUGAGGUACGGACCAAACGCCAACGGGGGGCAGCAGUGGGGAAUAUGGCGCAAUGGGGGAAACCCUGAUGCAGCAACGCCGCGUGCGGGAUGACGGCCUUCGGGGUGUAAACCGCUUUCAGCCAUGACGCGGUAGUGGCAGAAGAAGCACCGGCUAACUACGUGCCAGCAGCCGCGGUAAUUC
This 405-nucleotide ribosomal RNA is filed under the name uncultured bacterium. Its description in RNAcentral is "partial 16S ribosomal RNA". It matches the Rfam family "Bacterial small subunit ribosomal RNA", at positions 28 to 526 of the family's 1533-position model. The record is from RNAcentral.